This 577-nucleotide long non-coding RNA is filed under the name Numida meleagris (helmeted guineafowl). Its description in RNAcentral is "lncRNA (ENSNMEG00000012137.1)". Lineage: Eukaryota; Metazoa; Chordata; Aves; Galliformes; Numididae. The record is from RNAcentral.
CGCUCAUUUUUGAGAUGCCGGGAACCAGGCUGGUGUUUUCGUAACUCCCCAGAAAAAGCUGAUAAUUAGUUUUGGUGGCUUUCAGCUGUGACCCCCAGCAACACAGAUAACCAGUCAGAGGCCAGAGUAGUUCUCCCUGGGACUCCUGCCCCUCCCAGGGGCUCAGGAGGGCUCGUUAAGUUGGUGAGUGCUGCUGAGGGAGCAGGAGCUGGACAUCACUCUGCCAUGAACUCUACAGUUGCAUGUGGUGUGCUCCUGCUGCUCGGCUCGCUGCUCUGAGCUCUCUGUGUACUUGUGAAGGGUUCGGUGCCUUCAACCUCUUGAAGGAAAAAGAGCAACAGCCAUGGAGGAGAUGGGAGCCUUGCUGCUGCUCCAGUCCUCGUGUAAUGCCCAGAGCAAGACCUCAGAGAUCCUGGGGAAGGCUGAGCUCUUAUAUCUUCCAUCUUCUCCUGCCAUACCAGAAAUGUGAGCAUCUAACUAUUUAUUCCUGGAACAUGUAACAACUCUUCUAGACAGAACGCUUAAAACAACAGCUUUGCACAAUAAAAUAGGACCAUAAGGUACUGUUACUGAAACA